UAGUAAAAUAUAUCAAUCUUACAGUUAAUUUGUAAAAAUAACUUCAUUUUUUUAAAUUAGUUACUGAAAAAAAACAAAGUCAUAAAACAAUGAAUCGUUUUGUUGUAUUGAUUGCUUAUGUGGUUAUUAUUGUGGCCAUCAUUUCAGCUAGUACAAAUGCAGCUAAAACACCAAAAGUUCCAAUGCCUGUUCCGCAUUAUGAGUAUGUCCAGGGUCCUAAAUAAUUCAAUUAAACUGCACAACAAAUAAACAUUACUACAACUACAAUAUAAUUUAAAUAUAUAAUUAUAU
Molecule: long non-coding RNA, 291 nt
Organism: Oppia nitens
Lineage: Eukaryota; Metazoa; Arthropoda; Arachnida; Sarcoptiformes; Oppiidae
Exons: 3
Source: RefSeq, a predicted model, not a curated record